RNAcentral lists this ribosomal RNA (460 nucleotides) under uncultured bacterium. Its description in RNAcentral is "partial 16S ribosomal RNA". It matches the Rfam family "Bacterial small subunit ribosomal RNA", at positions 28 to 507 of the family's 1533-position model. The record is from RNAcentral.
GACGAACGCUGGCGGCGUGCUUAACACAUGCAAGUCGAGCGGUAAGGCCUCUUCGGGGGUACACGAGCGGCGAACGGGUGAGUAACACGUGGGUGACCUGCCCUCAGCUCUGGGAUAAGCCUGGGAAACUGGGUCUAAUACCGGAUAUGACCUUUCCUCGCAUGGGGGUGGGUGGAAAGUUUUUUCGGCUGGGGAUGGGCCCGCGGCCUAUCAGCUUGUUGGUGGGGUGGUGGCCUACCAAGGCGACGACGGGUAGCCGGCCUGAGAGGGCGACCGGCCACAAUGGGGCUGAGGCACGGCCCCGAACCCUACGGGGGGCAGCAGUGGGGAAUAUUGCGCAAUGGGCGGAAGCCCGACGCAGCGACGCCGGGUGGGGGAUGACGGCCGUCGGGUUGUAAACCUCUUUCGACCCCGACGAAUUUUGGCGGUAGCGGUAGAAGAAGCACCGGCCAACUACGUG